GACGAACCGAGCGAACGUUAUUCGGAAUCACUGGGCUUAAAGCGCGUGUAGGCGGGACGGCACGUCGGUAGCUGAAAUCCCCCGGCUCAACCGGGGAACGGGCGCCGAUACGACCGCCCUCGAGGGACGUAGGGGGACCUGGAACUUCCGGUGGAGCGGUGAAAUGCGUUGAGAUCGGAAGGAACGCCCGUGGCGAAAGCGAGGUCCUGGACGUUUUCUGACGCUGAGACGCGAAAGCCAGGGGAGCGAACGGG
Molecule: ribosomal RNA, 254 nt
Filed under: uncultured bacterium
Lineage: Bacteria
Description: partial 16S ribosomal RNA
Rfam family: Bacterial small subunit ribosomal RNA
Source: RNAcentral